RNAcentral lists this ribosomal RNA (460 nucleotides) under uncultured bacterium. RNAcentral describes it as "partial 16S ribosomal RNA". It matches the Rfam family "Bacterial small subunit ribosomal RNA", at positions 338 to 795 of the family's 1533-position model. The record is from RNAcentral.
CCUACGGGUGACAGCAGUGAGGAAUAUUGGUCAAUGGACGAGAGUCUGAACCAGCCAAGUAGCGUGAAGGAUGACUGCCCUAUGGGUUGUAAACUUCUUUUAUAUGGGAAUAAAACGUUCCACGUGUGGGAUUUUGUAUGUACCAUAUGAAUAAGGAUCGGCUAACUCCGUGCCAGCAGCCGCGGUAAUACGGAGGAUCCGAGCGUUAUCCGGAUUUAUUGGGUUUAAAGGGAGCGUAGGUGGAUUGUUAAGUCAGUUGUGAAAGUUUGCGGCUCAACCGUAAAAUUGCAGUUGAAACUGGCAGUCUUGAGUACAGUAGAGGUGGGAGGAAUUCGUGGUGUAGCGGUGAAAUGCUUAGAUAUCACGAAGAACUCCGAUUGCGAAGGCAGUUCACUGGACUGCAACUGACACUGAGGCUCGAAAGUGUGGGUAUCAAACAGGAUUAGAUACCCGUGUAGUC